CCCCUCUCAGGAUAAUUCCUGGAGAGUUUCCAGUACUCUACCAGUCUCAGCUAUGGGAGGGAGAGUCAAGCAGAGGCCUACCCAUUCCAUUACUAUCUUGGGCAGUGGCUAGCAAGUGAAAGGCAAUCUGCUACAAGU
This 138-nucleotide small nucleolar RNA is filed under the name Ornithorhynchus anatinus (platypus). The record is from RNAcentral. Lineage: Eukaryota; Metazoa; Chordata; Mammalia; Monotremata; Ornithorhynchidae.